Triticum dicoccoides is the source of this 713-nucleotide long non-coding RNA. RefSeq lists it as uncharacterized. The record is from RefSeq and is a predicted model, not a curated record. The transcript has 6 exons. NCBI's taxonomy places the organism in Eukaryota, Viridiplantae, Streptophyta, Magnoliopsida, Poales, Poaceae.
CUCAAUACGCACAAUCAGAUUAUCCUUCCUUUGAUUUCAGCCUCCCACCAAGUCAAUAUAACAACCAACAUCAUAAUUAUGCCAACACCAUUGUUCUUCCAAGUGAGAGCCCAAUAAGGAUGAUGGACUUCCUGUCACCAAAAGUAUACCCAAGCACUAUUGGCACACCCCUUGAAGAUCCUUUGUUAGUUCAAGCACUUGAACAACAUGAAACACAUUCCAGUAAGUUCUAUAAACCAGAAGGUUCAUCUUGGCAGCAACGCGUAAACAAUUCUUUCAAAUCUGGGACAGUAGUAAUCCAAGAUCAGAAGAAGGGAAAUAAGGAGGUCAUUUUUUCAACUGGAAUAGAUAAUGCCUCCUACCAAUCAUUGGUUGGACAUCUUUCCAAGUUAACCUACAGGUACGACUCAGGAAUUUCCCUCCUUAGUAUCUUAGCAAGUACAAAGGUCUCGGAAUGGAAGGUUUCUCCAAUGACGAUUUACAAGCUCUACGAGAGAAAUUUCUUUUUGAGAUCAUAACUUGCAAGGACAAUGAAAUCCAGCUUCCAUUCGUAACUUCUUUCCUACAGGGACAUGGGUUUCCGCAUUUUCAAGGGAAGCAUUCAACAUGAUUUCUGCAUAUGAACAAAGCUUUUAGGCAUUCAUUGCCAUUCGUUACUGUCAAGUAUAAUGGAAUCUGCACUAGAAGAAGUUCUCCUGAAUUUGCACUGAAAG